This 254-nucleotide ribosomal RNA is filed under the name uncultured bacterium. RNAcentral's name for it is "partial 16S ribosomal RNA". It matches the Rfam family "Bacterial small subunit ribosomal RNA", at positions 524 to 776 of the family's 1533-position model. The record is from RNAcentral.
UACAGAGGGUGCAAGCGUUAAUCGGAGUUACUGGGCGUAAAGGACGCGUAGGCGGUUAUUUAAGUUAGAUGUGAAAUCCCUGGGCUUAACCUAGGAACUGCAUCUAAUACUGAGUAGCUAGAGUACUGUAGAGGAUAGUGGAAUUUCCGGUGUAGCGGUGAAAUGCGUAGAGAUCGGAAGGAACACCAGUGGCGAAGGCGACUAUCUGGACAGAUACUGACGCUGAGGCGCCGAGAGCGUGGGGAGCAAACAGG